Molecule: ribosomal RNA, 158 nt
Filed under: Mycosphaerella sp. MEC1
Lineage: Eukaryota; Fungi; Ascomycota; Dothideomycetes; Mycosphaerellales; Mycosphaerellaceae
Description: 5.8S ribosomal RNA
Rfam family: 5.8S ribosomal RNA
About the family: 5.8S ribosomal RNA (5.8S rRNA) is a component of the large subunit of the eukaryotic ribosome. It is transcribed by RNA polymerase I as part of the 45S precursor that also contains 18S and 28S rRNA.
Source: RNAcentral
AAACUUUCAACAACGGAUCUCUUGGUUCUGGCAUCGAUGAAGAACGCAGCGAAAUGCGAUAAGUAAUGUGAAUUGCAGAAUUCAGUGAAUCAUCGAAUCUUUGAACGCACAUUGCGCCCGUGGUAUUCCGCGGGGCAUGCCUGUUCGAGCGUCAUUUC